UGCGAUGAUGAUGAGAUCAAAUAAUCUCGUUAAUCUGAUCUUUUUCGUGUGGAAAAACUUUCUCUUCCAUUCUACUAUUCUCUGAGC
Neltuma alba is the source of this 87-nucleotide small nucleolar RNA. RefSeq annotates it as small nucleolar RNA U30. The transcript has a single exon. The record is from RefSeq and is a predicted model, not a curated record. Lineage: Eukaryota; Viridiplantae; Streptophyta; Magnoliopsida; Fabales; Fabaceae.